UGCCGGGUCGUCUAAUGGUAGGACUCCAGGUUUUGGUCCUGGCUAUCGGGGUUCGAAUCCCUGCCCGGCAGCCA
Molecule: transfer RNA, 74 nt
Filed under: Patescibacteria group bacterium
Lineage: Bacteria
Also listed under: 1 other name
Description: tRNA-Gln
Rfam family: tRNA
About the family: Transfer RNA (tRNA) molecules are approximately 80 nucleotides in length. Their secondary structure includes four short double-helical elements and three loops (D, anti-codon, and T loops). Further hydrogen bonds mediate the characteristic L-shaped molecular structure. tRNAs have two regions of fundamental functional importance: the anti-codon, which is responsible for specific mRNA codon recognition, and the 3' end, to which the tRNAs corresponding amino acid is attached (by aminoacyl-tRNA synthetases). tRNAs cope with the degeneracy of the genetic code in two manners: having more than one tRNA (with a specific anti-codon) for a particular amino acid; and 'wobble' base-pairing, i.e. permitting non-standard base-pairing at the 3rd anti-codon position.
Source: RNAcentral